Molecule: unclassified non-coding RNA, 343 nt
Filed under: soil metagenome
Description: partial contains 5.8S ribosomal RNA, internal transcribed spacer 2, and large subunit ribosomal RNA
Rfam family: 5.8S ribosomal RNA (bases 1-120)
Source: RNAcentral
GAUGAAGAACGUAGCGAAAUGCGAUAAGUAAUGUGAAUUGCAGAAUUCAGUGAAUCAUCGAAUCUUUGAACGCACAUUGCGCCCGCCAGCAUUCUGGCGGGCAUGCCUGUUCGAGCGUCAUUUCAACCCUCGAGCCCCCCCGGGGGCCUCGGUGUUGGGGGACGGCACACCAGCCGCCCCCGAAAUGCAGUGGUGACCCCGCCGCAGCCUCCCCUGCGUAGUAGCACACACCUCGCACCGGAGCGCGGAGGCGGUCACGCCGUAAAACGCCCAACUUUCUUAGAGUUGACCUCGGAUCAGGUAGGAAUACCCGCUGAACUUAAGCAUAUCAAUAAGCGGAGGA